GCCCGGGUGGUGGAACGCAGACACGGUGAGCUUAAAACUCGCUGACCUUUCGGUCGUCCCGGUUCGAGUCCGGGUCCGGGCA
This 82-nucleotide transfer RNA is filed under the name Streptomyces bohaiensis. RNAcentral describes it as "tRNA-Leu". It matches the Rfam family "tRNA". Rfam says of the family: Transfer RNA (tRNA) molecules are approximately 80 nucleotides in length. Their secondary structure includes four short double-helical elements and three loops (D, anti-codon, and T loops). The record is from RNAcentral. Lineage: Bacteria; Bacillati; Actinomycetota; Actinomycetes; Kitasatosporales; Streptomycetaceae.